Molecule: ribosomal RNA, 482 nt
Filed under: uncultured bacterium
Lineage: Bacteria
Description: partial 16S ribosomal RNA
Rfam family: Bacterial small subunit ribosomal RNA
Source: RNAcentral
AUUGAACGCUGGCGGCAUGCUUUACACAUGCAAGUCGAACGGUAACAGGCCGCAAGGUGCUGACGAGUGGCGAACGGGUGAGUAAUGCAUCGGAACGUGCCCAGUCGUGGGGGAUAACUACUUGCAAGGGUAGCUAAUACCGCAUACGAUCUAUGGUUGAAAGCGGGGGACCGUAAGGCCUCGCGCCAUUGGUGCGGCCGAUGUCAGAUGAGGUAGUUGGUGGGGUAAAGGCUCACCAAGCCAACGCUUUGUAGCUGGUCUGAGAGGAUGACCAGCCACACUGGAACUGAGACACGGCCCAGACUCCUACGGGAGGCAGCAGUGGGGAAUUUUGGACAAUGGGCGCAAGCCUGAUCCAGCAAUGCCGCGUGCAGGAAGAAGGCCUUCGGGUUGUAAACUGCUUUUGUAAGGAACGAAACGGCUCUGGUUAAUACCCGGGGCUAAUGACGGUACCGUAAGAAUAAGCACCGGCUAACUACGUG